AAAGUACUCACUCUGUCCGAAAAUACUUGUCAUCAAAAUGGAUAAAAAGAGAUGUAUCUAGAACUAAAAUACGUCUAGAUACAUCCCUUUUUAUUCAUUUUGAUGACAAGUAUUUCCGAACGGAGGGAGUAGACA
This is a non-coding RNA of Triticum aestivum (bread wheat), 135 nucleotides long. The record is from Rfam. NCBI's taxonomy places the organism in Eukaryota, Viridiplantae, Streptophyta, Magnoliopsida, Poales, Poaceae.